UGAGGAAUAUUGGUCAAUGGACGCAAGUCUGAACCAGCCAAGUAGCGUGCAGGAUGACGGCCCUAUGGGUUGUAAACUGCUUUUAUAUGGGGAUAAAGUGGGGAACGUGUUCCCUUUUGCAGGUACCAUAUGAAUAAGGACCGGCUAAUUCCGUGCCAGCAGCCGCGGUAAUACGGAAGGUUCGGGCGUUAUCCGGAUUUAUUGGGUUUAAAGGGAGCGUAGGCCGUUUGGUAAGCGUGUUGUGAAAUGUAGGAGCUCAACUUCUAGAUUGCAGCGCGAACUGUCAGACUUGAGUGCGCACAACGUAGGCGGAAUUCAUGGUGUAGCGUUGAAAUGCUUAGAUAUCAUGAAGAACUCCGAUUGCGAAGGCAGCUUACGGGAGCGCAACUGACGCUGAAGCUCGAAGGUGCGGGUAUCGAACAGG
This 424-nucleotide ribosomal RNA is filed under the name Verrucomicrobiota bacterium. Its description in RNAcentral is "Verrucomicrobia bacterium partial 16S ribosomal RNA". It matches the Rfam family "Bacterial small subunit ribosomal RNA", at positions 355 to 776 of the family's 1533-position model. Lineage: Bacteria; Pseudomonadati; Verrucomicrobiota. The record is from RNAcentral.